This is a non-coding RNA of Triticum aestivum (bread wheat), 99 nucleotides long. NCBI's taxonomy places the organism in Eukaryota, Viridiplantae, Streptophyta, Magnoliopsida, Poales, Poaceae. The record is from Rfam.
GAUGUACUCCCUCCGUUCCAAAUUACUCGUCGCAGAAAUGAAUGUACAAGAUGUACAUUCAUUUCUGCGACGAGUAAUUUGGAACGGAGGGAGUACGUU